UAGCUCAGUCAGUUGAGCGUAGUGCUAACAACGCUAAGGUUGUGGGUUUGAUUCCCGU
RNAcentral lists this transfer RNA (58 nucleotides) under Apaloderma vittatum (bar-tailed trogon). It matches the Rfam family "tRNA", at positions 8 to 63 of the family's 71-position model. Rfam says of the family: Transfer RNA (tRNA) molecules are approximately 80 nucleotides in length. Their secondary structure includes four short double-helical elements and three loops (D, anti-codon, and T loops). Lineage: Eukaryota; Metazoa; Chordata; Aves; Trogoniformes; Trogonidae. The record is from Rfam by way of RNAcentral.